RNAcentral lists this ribosomal RNA (496 nucleotides) under uncultured bacterium. RNAcentral's name for it is "partial 16S ribosomal RNA". It matches the Rfam family "Bacterial small subunit ribosomal RNA", at positions 28 to 523 of the family's 1533-position model. The record is from RNAcentral.
GAUGAACGCUGGCGGCGUGCUUAACACAUGCAAGUCGAACGAAGUAUAUUGGAAUGAGUUCUUCGGAACAAAUGAAUUUAUACUUAGUGGCGGACGGGUGAGUAACGCGUGGAUAACCUGCCUUACACUGGGGGACAACAGUUAGAAAUGACUGCUAGUACCGCAUAAGCGCACAGUACCGCAUGGUACGGUGUGAAAAACUCCGGUGGUGUAAGAUGGAUCCGCGUCUGAUUAGCUAGUUGGUGAGGUAAUGUCUCACCAAGGCGACGAUCAGUAGCCGGCCUGAGAGGGUGAACGGCCACAUUGGGACUGAGACACGGCCCAGACUCCUACGGGAGGCAGCAGUGGGGAAUAUUGCACAAUGGGCGAAAGCCUGAUGCAGCGACGCCGCGUGAGCGAAGAAGUAUUUCGGUAUGUAAAGCUCUAUCAGCAAGGAAGAUAAUGACGGUACUUGACUAAGAAGCCCCGGCUAACUACGUGCCAGCAGCCGCCGCGG